This is a long non-coding RNA of Oreochromis aureus, 2620 nucleotides long. Lineage: Eukaryota; Metazoa; Chordata; Actinopteri; Cichliformes; Cichlidae. The record is from Ensembl.
GCGCGAAUAACGUUACAGGUGUAUCAAUUCUUGUGAAGGACAUGGCUGCAGGAGACAAGUCCAUUUCUGAGUUACUCAGAGAACUUGCUAACCGCUUAGAUUGUACGUCUUCACCUCAGUCUGAGAGAGUGUUGCAGCAGCAUACUGAAGAUGAAGCGGUCCCUGGUCCAAGUUCUCAUCAAAACAGCACAGUGUUAACGUUAGGAAAUGCUAACGCUAUCACAGCUAGCUCAACUCCACGAAACGCUGUUCAGGCUGAAGUCGCAAGACUGUUUGCCCCUUACAGAGCGAGGCCUUCCUCAGCACCACUUUCAUCUCUGACCCCGCAAUCUUCCAAGAAAGCAUGCUGCUCCAUUUACACACACACCUUCUUCUGUUUACAUGAUCAUAUGUCAGACACAGUGCCAGCUAAAGCAGUCAAAUUUGACCUAGCAGCAGCUGGACUUGGAGAGAAAUGGAUUUCAUUCCAAGGAAGGGAUGAUGACCCAGAAGUGGUCAAGGCAAAGAUUGAGGAUACCUUCCCUCAGCUAAAAGACACAGGAGGGUUUGAACUGCUGAGAAUCUCGGGUACAACACAAAGCCGUAACCUGUGCACAAUCCCAAGCCCAGACACUGGAUAUACAGUGCGAUAUCUCCACAGUCCAUUGAGUGGAAUUGGACAAGCUUUGAUCUAUAUAAGGCCACUGCAGAAAAGUAUUGAUUUGGAAGACAGCCUGACAACCCUCCAGCAACAAGGACCCCCCACAAAAUGCCUGAAUCGUGACAUUAACAUUCCUUUAAAUAAAAUGAAAAACCACAUCACUAAAUGCACAAGAGUGGAAAUGUGAACAAGAUGCAACCAGAGCAGCCUGGCUCUACAAGUCCGAGUUACUUUCAAAGUAUGAGACCAGAAAGACAGUAGUCCUGCAAAUGGACUUGCGGGAAAGUAUUGUGGAUCAACAGAGGUCACUUUUCUCCCUCUACAAAGCCCCAAAGGUAGAGUGGGCGGGCCCUGUCAGCUGCAAACUGGAAGGGGAUGUUGCUGUUGGAGAAGGGGUGAAGAGAUUCUUCUUCUCAAAGGCAGUUUCUCUAGUACAGUCUGGUUUGCAUGGAACACAGAUCUUACAAGGCUGUUUGACGGUGAGCCAGAACACUUGACUCCAUCCACUUCUCAGACCUUGCUUGAGAGUGACAUGUUUUUGGUGGCAGGAAGAAUAAUGGGACAUUCAUUCUUUCAUGGUGGACCGUGUGUGUCUGGUAUAAGUCCUGCAAUCAUCCAUGUCCUUUUUGGUGGCCCACCUGAAACAGCUAUAGUUCAGAUUGAGGAUUGCCCUGAUAUUGAUAUCCGCAGCACUAUUCAGCUGCUUGAUGGCACUGCUGAAUUAACAGAACUGGAACGAAGAAAUGUUCUCGAGCUAGCCCUGGCUUGGGACCUGCCAGGUGUCACACAAACCAAUAGAAAGUGGCUGUAUGAACGUCUGCUAUUCCACGCUGUGAGUACUGACUUACUCUCCCCAAUAAAUUUACAUUUUAAAUAGAAAAGCACAUCAAACCUUCGGAUGUGAAUAAGUACAUUUUUCAUAUACAAUUAAAAAAAAUCUCUUUGGAGGCCAUUUGAAAUGCUUUUACCAGUACAGUGGAUGUUCUUUAAGUAUUUAACAUUUAAAGUGUGUCUCAAUUUACGGACUCCAACUUCAGUUUUGGUUUGGUCUCACCGUUGUAGGUCAUAACACGAACAAGCCGUCAAGUCAAGCAGCUGAGGAAAGGGCUUAAGGAGACCAUGGUAUGGCCGCUUCUGACAGAAAGAUCGGACAUCAUUCCUCUUUUCUUACCAAGGGAAUCAGAGACUGCUCCCUGUUGUGAGUCUACUCUAGAAAGGAUAGUGUGGCCUGCCACAGAAGAUGAAGCUGAGGAGGAAGAGGAAUGCUCUCUUGAGGAUAAAUGCAGAGUGGCAGGUUACCUUCGGUCCUUCAUUGAAAAUGGUAAGUCUGCUGCUAUAGGUAUUUUGCUAUUGGUUUUCUCUGAUUAUACUUUGGUAAAUUACAUACAGUCCAGUGAUCUUGGGUCAUUAACAAAGUACACUAUAGUAGGGCUGGGCUAUAUCAUACCGUUCACGGUAAUACCGGUGUAAUUUUGGGCAACGAUAGGAAAAUGAAAUAUCGCAAUAGAAUAUGGGUAAACCGCGCAUGCGCAGUGCCUAUGUUUACAUACGCACAUGGCAGCGAUGCAGAAUGAGAAGAGCGAAAGUGGAUCGUUAAAUGAAACGGAUGAACCAGAAUUGGUUUGUAGAAAUGCUGCAACUUCAGUGGUGUGGAACUGGUUUAGCUUUCAUCCGUCAGAUACACAACAAAGCACUAUUUUUGGUAGAGCAUGCUAGCGGGCCGUCGUUAUUACCGUGUUGUUUGGAAAAUACGGCACACUUAAAAUCAAUCCUUUGAUUUUUCUGAAAAUCGACAGUGCCCCUUAUAAUCCCGUGUGCCUUAUAUAUGAAUUCUGGUUGUGUUUACUGACCUUGAAACGAUUUUAUGUGGUACACGGCACAUGCAGCCCCGUCAUCAUUUUCACUCUAUCACCAAACACAGACAUUGUUUUCAUAAGCAGAGAAUUUUAGACCUUGUACCUUAAAUGUACAUAAGUGCCC